UACGAAGGGGGCUAGCGUUGCUCGGAAUCACUGGGCGUAAAGCGCACGUAGGCGGAUCUUUAAGUCAGGGGUGAAAUCCUGGAGCUCAACUCCAGAACUGCCUUUGAUACUGAGGAUCUUGAGUCCGGGAGAGGUGAGUGGAACUCCGAGUGUAGAGGUGAAAUUCGUAGAUAUUCGGAAGAACACCAGUGGCGAAGGCGGCUCACUGGCCCGGUACUGACGCUGAGGAGCGAAAGCAUGGGGAGCGAACAGG
RNAcentral lists this ribosomal RNA (253 nucleotides) under uncultured bacterium. RNAcentral's name for it is "partial 16S ribosomal RNA". It matches the Rfam family "Bacterial small subunit ribosomal RNA", at positions 524 to 776 of the family's 1533-position model. The record is from RNAcentral.